RNAcentral lists this unclassified non-coding RNA (250 nucleotides) under plant metagenome. RNAcentral's name for it is "partial contains small subunit ribosomal RNA and internal transcribed spacer 1". The stretch from base 1 to 46 matches the Rfam family "Eukaryotic small subunit ribosomal RNA", at positions 1786 to 1831 of the family's 1831-position model. The record is from RNAcentral.
AAGUCGUAACAAGGUUUCCGUAGGUGAACCUGCGGAAGGAUCAUUAGUGAAUUUUUAUCCGUGAGGCAGCAAUGCCUCAUGGUUUAGACGGUGGCCCCUCGUGGUCGCCGCUGCGUCAAAGACGUGAGGAAUACACAUCCAUAACACCUGUGAACUGUCUGCAAGCGCCAACCGGCACUUCGGUGUCCGCUAGGACUUGCACUUUACAAACUCAACCUGUAAAAAUGUCUAUAUACAAAACAAAAUAAAA